This 258-nucleotide long non-coding RNA is filed under the name Gossypium barbadense (sea-island cotton). RNAcentral's name for it is "long non-coding RNA (GBAR_LNC016586)". The record is from RNAcentral. Lineage: Eukaryota; Viridiplantae; Streptophyta; Magnoliopsida; Malvales; Malvaceae.
CCGAGCUACAAAUCUCCUCAUCACAUCACAAAUCCUAUGGCAUGCUAUUUGUAUCCAAUCUAGUCCGAUAAGUUAAUAGGGUAUUCGAAUCACAUUUCAAUUCAAUCACUUUCUAUUACUUUCAAUUCCAAUUUAAUCACAAUUUAAUUCAAUACAUUUUUCAUCUUCCAAUCAGUAUACCAUCAAAUGCUCGUACAUAUUCAUACUUCAUUUUAAUUUCAUUCAAUUCACAUACGAUUCAAUAUCAUUUAAUUAAAU